RNAcentral lists this ribosomal RNA (774 nucleotides) under uncultured Neocallimastigales. Its description in RNAcentral is "partial large subunit ribosomal RNA". It matches the Rfam family "Eukaryotic large subunit ribosomal RNA", at positions 23 to 646 of the family's 3401-position model. The record is from RNAcentral. Lineage: Eukaryota; Fungi; Neocallimastigomycota; Neocallimastigomycetes; Neocallimastigales.
AGAGAGAGACAUGCGCGCAUAUCAAUAAGCGGAGGAAAAGAAACUAACAAGGAUUCCCCUAGUAACGGCGAGUGAAGCGGGGAGAGCUCAAAUUUGAAAUCUUAAAGGGUUUCCCUUUACGAAUUGUAGUUUAAAGAAGUGUUUUCUGUUGAGGUUUUGGUAAAAGUUCUUUGGAAUAGGACAUCAUAGAGGGUGAGAAUCCCGUAUUUGACCUUUACUUUCAACUUUGUGAUACACUUUCAAAGAGUCGGAUUGUUUGGGAAUGCAGUCCAAAAUGGGUGGUAAAUUUCAUCUAAAGCUAAAUAUUGGCGAGAGACCGAUAGCGAACAAGUACCGUGAGGGAAAGAUGAAAAGAACUUUGAAAAGAGAGUUAAACAGUACGUGAAAUUGUCAAAAGGGAAGCGUUUGACACCAGUGUUGUUUUUCUGAAAAUCAAUUAAAGAACUGUUUAUGCUAAGUUGUUUAGACUUUAUCAGCUAACUGUUUAGUUUUGAGCUUUUCUUUAAUGCACUUUUCAGUUAACAAGUCAACAUCAAUUUCUUUUGCUGUAAAAAAGCUUGAGGAAGGUGGCUUGAGAUUCGUCUUAAGUGUUUAUAGCCUCUUGCCUAUGCAGUCGGAGAGAUUGAGGUCUGCAGCGUAGAUCCUUCGGGGCUAAAUGCAUUUGUGCUAAGUUAUAGCAUUUUAUAGACAACUUGUUGACUAUGAUUUGUCUUGUAGCUUACUCGCUUAUGUUAUUUUACCUACGCUUAGGAUGUUGACGCAUGAGAUAUACGC